RNAcentral lists this transfer RNA (65 nucleotides) under bovine gut metagenome. It matches the Rfam family "tRNA". Rfam says of the family: Transfer RNA (tRNA) molecules are approximately 80 nucleotides in length. Their secondary structure includes four short double-helical elements and three loops (D, anti-codon, and T loops). The record is from RNAcentral.
GGUAUCGCCAAGCGGUAAGGCACUAGACUUUGACUCUAGUAUGCGCUGGUUCGAAUCCAGCUACC